GACUCUGGCUGAGAGUGUGCUGGGCAUUUCAACAUCUUGGAUGUUGGGUGGUGAGUUUUGCCCUUGAGCUGAUUCAGGUUCGGGCAAAGAGCUGAGCGUCUUUGGAGGACCCACAUUGUGACAUCCUGGUUUCCAUGGCUUGAUGGCCCCUGGCAACUUGUUCAAUUUCUUUUUCUAAGAUAGCCUAGAAAGUGAUUUUUUUAAGCCAAGUUCCUCCAAGAAUUUUCAGAAAAGCCUCUUGAUCCAGACCUGUUUGAUUCAAAUCGCUCCUGCUCUGGCUAUAGCUGUGGUCCCUCGAUCACCUGGUCUCAGCAUCCGGACCUGUUUAGCCCAGAUCUCAAUCACCUGGUGAGCCACCCGCCCAGCCCCAGCAGACACUAGCCUUGGAGAAGAUCACUCAUCGCCCCAGGACUCACUUCCACCGGCUGGUAAAAAUGGGGAUGAUUUUUUUCUUUAGGCUAUAAUUAGCCUCCACGUGGACUUGGGAGCAAGGGAUUACAGCGAGGGAGAAAGAAAGAAGAAAAGGAAGAGACUUUGAACUUAAAGCAUGGCUACUUUAAGAGGAUAUCUUUUGACUGUACUGAUAAUUUCAUUUAUAUCACCUGAGUGCCAGGGGGAAAAUUCAGCUCCCUGCAACUCUUUAGCCAAAUUUGAGAUUCCUGAAAUCCACUCUUACUAUGAGGAAGCAACUCAGUGGCUCAGUGAAUUGAGAGCCAAGCCUAGAGAAGGGAGGUCCUUGGUUGAAAUCUGGCCUCAGGCAUUGUGGCCCUGGACAGGUCAUUUAAUCCCCAUUGCCUAACCAUUACCAAUCUUCUGCCUUCUGACAAUAGGCAUCUAAAUGGAUAAAAAAAAAACAAGGAACUUUAAAGAGACUGGAGGUUAUAUUCUUAAGGCAUUUCAGACUCCAUGUUUUAUAAAAAUCUCUGUAUUCUAUUGCAUUUUAUUGAUUGUUUUGUUUAAGAUUUAACUUUGUGAUUUAAGUUCAUAUUUUAAGUUCAUAUAUUACUGCAUUCAAUACUAUUCUGUUAAACUGAAUCAUUUUAAUGUACUGGGGUUUAACUACUGUUAUAUUCUGUUGCUUUUCCCCUAUAACUAUACUGAACAAACAUUAUUGAGUAAGCCCUUAUAAAAAUAGCUUUUCUAUUUUUGACUUUGUAAAUUGUCACAUAGAGGAUAGAUGGACUCCAUCAGAAAAUUGCUAUAACAACCUUUGGAAAAAUUUGAUGAGCUAAAUAUCUCAAAUUGAUUUAAGGUUACUUUAGAAAUAAUUUUUAGAAUUUUUUUCUUAACAAUCUCUGGUCAUUUUGCCUGCUCCUAACACAAGGUAAGGCCCAUUUUAGUAGCUGGAGUAAAAUACAAUUAUAACCCCAAUUCCUGCAUUUAUAAAAAUGUGCAUGGAAGUUGGGGAAAUUAAUCCCAGGGCAUAUAGUACCCCUAAAAAAGCCUUCCCCCCCAAAAAAGGGGAGCAUCUCUCAUUUAUAACUCUUCAGAUCAUUUUACUUCCACCAGAAUGAUAUCUAGAAUUCUUGAUGAUGUUCAAAACCCAAAAUAAGUUUUACUUUGUUUAAAAAUGUGUUUACCAAGGUUGAAAGACUUGCUACAUUUAUAAAAAUUGUGACAAAUAUCCAUCAGUUCAUAGUGUGAGAUUUAAAAUGAUUGAGGUCUUAAACUGUAGUGAUUAAAAUAGUUGAAGAUAUAAAUUGUGAUAGAUAUAAGAGAGGGUGAGUAAAUUUGACCACGGAAAAUAUGUUUCACUACAGUGUCUUGGUUUCAAAAUCAAAUAUAAGGUGGUCGCCAGGGAAAUAUUCCCAAUUAUUCAAAUACCCAAGUCAAUUGGGUUUUAUAGAGAUUUUUAAUUAACAAUACAAUGAGUAAUCAAAGAAAGAGAGAGAGAGUAAGAAAGGAAUAAGUAUGAAGGGCCUCAAGCCAAUAUGGCCUAGACCUGAGUCUUAAAAGAGAAAUCAGUCAUAACUCACCAUAAGAUCUGUCUAAGUAAGGAUUUCUAAUGACACCAGGCCAGCAGCAUCUUCAGCUGCUUUCACCAGCUCCCUCCUCCAUCUGAAUGUUUCAGAAUCAGUCAGUCUCCUCAGAAUGAGUCUCUCCAAUCUGAAUGUUUCAGAAUGACUUCCCAGCUCUUCCCUGAGCUCUUAUUUUUAAGGGCAAAAUUUCCUCUGUCACCUCCCCUAAGUCCUUACAUCUGCCAAUCACUGUAGAUGUUUCUAAAGGACUUCCCAUUCUUAGUCCACACCUAAGAAGGUGUGGAUUUUUGAAUAAUUCACACCAGGAAAGCUCUGAGUAAGUUUUCCAGUUCUUUGUUCCUUGUAAAUUCACAAGUUGCUUGACCUUUAUAGGUACUUAGCUUAAGAAAAGUAUGGGUUUAAGUACUUUUCAUUGUUCAGAAAAGAGUUUACAACUUUAUCUUCCCCUAGGGCAGACCCAAGUAGGUAAAGUAGAAUUCUCACAUUUCUGCUUUAAGUAGAGUUCACUGCCCAAAUGGGGAAUGGUCUUAAUCCAAUCUUAUAAAGUAGGGUCUGGGAAAUUUUAAGGUUUACAAUAGGCUUUUAAAAAUUCCACAUAGCAACUCAUGUAAAAAUGAUAGUGUGUUUGCUAUUGUAAAUAACUGGGCUAUUGAGAAUUUUGGGAAUAUUGAUAACUACAUAUUUGUACUACUGUUCAAUUCAUUUGCUUAUACUCACAGUGGAUCAUGGCCAGAUAUAAAGAUGAAAUGGAUCUCAUUUUUGGUAAGAAAGCCUUAUAUUCUAUAUUUUCUUAGCUGACACAGAGUGCCAAUGAUUAUGUUAUAUUUUUGAAUUUUAAAAACUUUUAUUAUAUUUUUCUUGCAUGUGCAAUAUACUAUUUCAGUUUUUUUCUCUCCUUUUUAUAUUUGGAGCACAUCACCUGCAUUAAGAUUUUCUUUAACUUUUUGAUGUAAUAUAAGUUUAAAAUACAUUUGCAAUAAUGUCAACACAUGCCCCAAAAGCUUGAGACUAUAAAAAGGAUGCCACUAAUUGUUUAAAAAAAUUAUGGGACUUUGCUUAAUGAUUUUAUCUGAUUCUAGGACAGGAUAUACACAAAAGAACCAUUGCACAGGACUAAAGAUAAACCAAUCCAGGACGGAUUGAUGCACUUCCAAGCCAACAAGGUUGCGAUGCUUAACAUACAUUAAGACAUAGGCCUUCCUUGUAUCCACACUCACUCUGAAAAUACUUACAGACGAGUAUCCCAAACUUGGCUCCUACCUGGCUCCUAUAAUCUAGUCCCUUUUCUGUCUUCCAUAGUGUGGCAAACUUUCUGUAGUCCUGGCUACUGACUGGGUAAAUGCAUCAUUGCUUAGAACAUUUUAAUUGGGCCCUGAUUCAAGGACCUGUUAUAGAUUUACUUUUCCUUUAGUUGGAAUUUUUACACAUAAGACUUUGAUAUUUUCAUCCAGAAAUUUUCUUUUUUAUUUGGAUUUUUCUGAUGUCUUUUUAAUUUCUCUUACAAAUUGAUUCAUAUACCUCAUAACUCAUCCAUGCAUCCCUAAGUGAUCCUGUGUUUUUCAAUCACCCUUUUCACAGGGAAAUGUAAAAAUAUUAUUUUAAAUUGCAACAUUUAAAUUCUUUUUGAGAAGAAUUUUAGGUUAAGAAACAUGAUACCUCUCCAAAUCCAGAAACUGAACUGUUUGGAGAAGACACUAUGAAGAUGCCUCCAGACCACAAGCUGCAUGAGAAGAUCAAGAAUGAACUUUGGAUGUGGUUGAUUGAACAUUUAUUUGUAUCUAUACUUUCAUGCCAAAGGGGACUGCCCCCUAACUGGCUUUUUGUCAAUGCAUCUAGCAAUUAUUGGUUUUGUUUUUUCCCCCUCUUAUCCUCAAAUUAUUGUCAUCUUUAAGUUGAUUACGUUUUCAUGAUCCUUUGGGGGAAAACUUUUCUCAAAUUAUCAAACAGAGAAAUGUAAAAAUGGAGAUUUGAAUCCUGGACUUCAAUCCCCAGAAGUCCUUGGAAGUUCCCAGAAUCCCACAUGGGCGGAGAACAGAAAUUGUAUUUAUGCUGACUUGGCUCCAAGGCAGAAGAGUGGUAAGGGCUAGGCAAUGGGGGUCAAGUGACUUACCCAGGGUCACACAGCUAGGAAGUGUCUGAGGCCAGAAUUAAACCUAGGAUCUCCCAUCUCUAGGCCUGGCUCUCAGUCCACUGAGCUACCCAGCUGCCCCCUAUUUUCUUUAUUUCUUAAUCUUUAAUAAACCUAAAAAUAUAAUACUUUGAUUACUAGAAACUAAAUUUUAAUCUUAACAGCAGAUGAUAUGAUGAUACUUAGGGAAUCAAUUCAAAAACUAAUUGAAAUAAUUAACUACUGUAGCAAAGCUACAGGACACAAAAUAAACUCAUUCAAAAUCAUCAGAAUUUCUAUGUAUUAACAACAAAGUCCAGAAGAAAGAAAGAGAAAGAGAAAAUCCAUUUAAAAUAAAUAUACUUAACAUAAAAUAAAGCCGGAAACUAUAUGAACACAAUCACAAAACAUGUUUCAUACAUAAAAAGUCUGUUCUCAACGAUUGGAAAAAAAAUGAUAAUUGGUUGAGCUAAUGUGAUAAAAAUGACAAUUCUACCUAAAACAACUCAUUUAUUCAGUGCCACACCAACUACCAAAAAAAAUUAUUUUAUAGAACUAGGAAAAAAAUAAUAAAAUUCAUCUAGAGGAACAAAAAGUCAAGAAUAUCAAGGAAACCAAAGAAAAAACAUGACCUAGCCUUACCAGAUUGCAGAUUGAAUUAUAAAAUGGUAAUCUAUAAGAUGGCAAAACUAUCUGGGAUUGGCUAAGAAAUAGAGUAGUGAACCAAUGGAAUAGAUAUAGUACUCUAAAUAACCAUAGUAACCCAAAGUUUAGGACACUAAGUACUUUUCAUUGUCCAGCAAAGAGUUUACAACUUUAUCUUCCCCUAAAGUAUGCUUAAGUAGGGGUGGAGUAGAGGUCUUCACAUUCCUGGUCUAAGUAGAAGUCUCACAUUCCUGAUCUAAGUUCCUUCAUUGUUUAAAAUGGGGAAUGGUCUUAACCCAACCUUAUGAAGUAGGGUCUGAGAAUUUUUAAGGUUCACAAUCAUCAACUUAGUUCUAGUUCCCUGUUUCCACACUAAUUCCCAUAAAUAUCCCUAAAUAUUUACAAGUUGAAAAAUUCACAUAACCAGCACUGCCCUCUGUGGUGACUGUGAUAAAGAACAAGCAACGUACAAUGCCAGGUCUUUUUUUAUUUUUCUUAAUCUCAACACUUGUAACUACUUUGACAUAAUUUCCCAUGCCUUAUAUACUUCCAUUAGCCCCAGGCUAGGAAGUCCUAUGAGGGUUCAGCUGAAGGACUGGACCUCCCCUAAAUCUAGCUUAAACUUGUAAACUGAUCCUGAGCUCUCCACCCUGGACUUUCCCUGGGGAUGGGUUUGACCUGAAACCCAGGUCAAAAGUCCUCCCAGGUCCUAGGCUUCCAAUAGCUAGAUAGUUGAACUUCUAGUAACCAGGCCUCUUGUCACAGGGAUAACAGCAGAAGAAUACACUGACUUCCCUUUUUGUAAUGAAGUUUCUCUGAAAAAGGUCCUUGGUUGGGGAUGAAAAAAUCAGCCUUUAAUAGGCAUAUAUUCCCUAAUGUGCUACUGUCCCGCCCCCUUGAAGUGGGACACUUCACAAAUAAGUUCAAACACCUAGAAUAUUAAUUAUUGGAACCAUCAUUUAUUAAUAAAAGAGAGAAAUAAAGAAUCUAUCAACUGGGACAGAAUUCCCUAAUGGAAUACUGCAUUGGUUUGACAUUAAAGACCAGAUUAUAUACAUUGCAGAGAUCUUAUCUAACAAACAAACCUUAACACAGGAAUGUGGGGUCUGAGAUGGGGGGGACAAUUCUUAAAUUUAUGAUGGGGCUAUUAUCCAAGGAGUGUUUAUCUUCACUUAGUCAAAUGUUAGUUCACUGGCCCUUUGAUAUUCCUAAAAUUCCUCUUUUGUCUCUUGCCACCCAAACUAAGCAGAAAGCAUUUUGUUAUCUGCCCCAAACAUCUUGUCCUUCUGGAGGGAAGGAAAAACCAGGUCUGUCCCCUAAAAAUGUGGACAGUGGUAAUUUUUCCAUCUUUGGUUUUUCUGGGGCUACUUCAUUCCCUCCUUUUUCUGUUGGGGGGGAGUCAAACUCUUGACUCAUCAGACAGAGGAGAAUAAUGUGAUCUUAAGACAAAAAGCUUAAUAGCCUGAAGAUGCUGACGGAUAUAGGUCAUAAAAUGGUUGAUCAGGCAGGGUCCUAUCAAGAGGCCCACUAUUACUAAUAUUAGUGGUCCUGCCAUGGCCAUUAUCAAAGUAGUUAGCCACGGAGACCAAGAGAAAAGAUUGGAGUACCAGUUGCUGGAUUGAGCAUUAGCCCAGGUCCUCUCUUGGAUCCUUCCCCUGAGCAAGGCCAGAGAUUCCUGUAUAAUCCCAGGAUGAUUAGCAUAAAAACAACAGGAUUCUCCCAAUGCCAUUCAGAGCCCACCCCCCCUUGCUAAAAGAAAAAGAGAUUGAGUCCCCAUCUAUUUUGGAGAACCAUUUCUGCCAGAGAGGACAGUGAUUUUUCCAGGAAAUUAACAGGUAUUUCUAAUUCACUAAGGUCUAAAAAGAUAGUUGUGAGCAUAGUGAGGAAGGAUCAUUCUCCGAGGGCACUUUAUGGCAGUCUCAAACAGUUGCCCAGGUGCAGACAGUGGGGGUGGGUUCCUGGCCCCAAUCCCACAAGGACUUCUCUGUUCUGGCUGACUGGUGAGGGUUGCAUUUUUUUUUCAGCUAUUUGCCACUCUGUAAAUUCUCUCCCAGGGUCCUGGACUCUCACCUCCAGCCUAAGUCCCCACGUCCCGCCUAGUAACCAUCUUUUAUCCUCUGGGUUUUUAAUGGUCAGGGAAAGGGGAUUCCUGAAAUCAAGGGGGACGUCCCAGACCCUGCUUCACUCCCUUUGUAGUAU
Monodelphis domestica (gray short-tailed opossum) is the source of this 6930-nucleotide non-coding RNA. The record is from RefSeq and is a predicted model, not a curated record. Lineage: Eukaryota; Metazoa; Chordata; Mammalia; Didelphimorphia; Didelphidae.